ACCUGGAGCCGGCGGGAGCGGGUCAGCAGCUCCAGGAGCCGCUUCGCAGCCACCCCGCCCCGGCGCGCUCUGUUGCGUUCCCGCCCUCUGUCUCCGGUCUCGCCGGGACGCUCUGCCUCUCCUUGCCUCCCCUCGCACUCUUUAUUUUCAGUAAUAAAUGCACGCCAGCGCACUAUGCUCAACGCUUCACAAAGCUCCCUCAGCGCCUGGCACGGAGCGGGAACUCACACCCGGGACACUGAACUAAGGAGGCUGGUUUCCACUGAUUCCUGCCGGGCGGCCUUCUAACCCUCUGCACUCCCAGCAUGGCCCUGGCCCAGAUUCUGACCAAGGCACAGGGAAUGGCAUGUGAGGAUAUACCCAGAAAGAAGGCUCUCACCAAGAACCCGACCAUGCCAGCACCCUGACCCUGAUGUCAGACUUCCAGCCUCAAGAACCAUGAGAAAUAAAAGUUUGUUGUUUAAGCCAAAAAAAGAAAAAAGAAAAAAAAUACCAAAUUUUACACUUUAAAUAUAUGCAGUUUAUUGUAUGUCACUUAUCUAUCA
Long non-coding RNA from Hippopotamus amphibius kiboko, 545 nucleotides. RefSeq lists it as uncharacterized. NCBI's taxonomy places the organism in Eukaryota, Metazoa, Chordata, Mammalia, Artiodactyla, Hippopotamidae. The record is from RefSeq and is a predicted model, not a curated record. The transcript has 3 exons.